GAUGAACGCUGGCGGCGUGCCUAAUACAUGCAAGUCGAGCGAACAGACGAGGAGCUUGCUCCUCUGACGUUAGCGGCGGACGGGUGAGUAACACGUGGAUAACCUACCUAUAAGACUGGGAUAACUUCGGGAAACCGGAGCUAAUACCGGAUAAUAUAUUGAACCGCAUGGUUCAAUAGUGAAAGACGGUUUUGCUGUCACUUAUAGAUGGAUCCGCGCCGCAUUAGCUAGUUGGUAAGGUAACGGCUUACCAAGGCAACGAUGCGUAGCCGACCUGAGAGGGUGAUCGGCCACCCUGGAACUGAGACACGGUCCAGACUCCUACGGGAGGCAGCAGUAGGGAAUCUUCCGCAAUGGGGGAAAGCCUGACGGAGCAACGCCGCGUGAGUGAUGAAGGUCUUCGGAUCGUAAAACUCUGUUAUUAGGGAAGAACAAAUGUGUAAGUAACUAUGCACGUCUUGACGGUACCUAAUCAGAAAGCCACGGCUAACUACGUG
This 497-nucleotide ribosomal RNA is filed under the name uncultured bacterium. RNAcentral describes it as "partial 16S ribosomal RNA". It matches the Rfam family "Bacterial small subunit ribosomal RNA", at positions 28 to 507 of the family's 1533-position model. The record is from RNAcentral.